CUGACGGUUCACGCCGCGUGAGUGAGAAGGUUUCGGAUCGUAAAACUCUGUUGUUAGGGAAGAACAAGUGCCGUUCGAAUAGGGCGGCGCCUUGACGGUACCUAACCAGAAAGCCACGGCUAACUACGUGCCAGCAGCCGCGGUAAUACGUAGGUGGCAAGCGUUGUCCGGAAUUAUUGGGCGUAAAGCGCGCGCAGGUGGUUUCUUAAGUCUGAUGUGAAAGCCCACGGCUCAACCGUGGAGGGUCAUUGGAAACUGGGGAACUUGAGUGCAGAAGAGGAAAGUGGAAUUCCAAGUGUAGCGGUGAAAUGCGUAGAUAUUUGGAGGAACACCAGUGGCGAAGGCGACUUUCUGGUCUGUAACUGACACUGAGGCGCGAAAGCGUGGGGAGCAAACAGGAUUAGAUACCCUGGCAGUCCACGCCGUAAACGAUGAGUGCUAAGUGUUAGAGGGUUUCCGCCCUUUAGUGCUGCAGCUAACGCAUUAAGCACUCCGCCUGGGGAGUACGGUCGCAAGACUGAAACUCAAAGGAAUUGACGGGGGCCCGCACAAGCGGUGGAGCAUGUGGUUUAAUCCGAAGCAAGCGAAGAACUUACAGGUC
This 601-nucleotide ribosomal RNA is filed under the name uncultured bacterium. RNAcentral's name for it is "bacterial SSU rRNA". It matches the Rfam family "Bacterial small subunit ribosomal RNA", at positions 383 to 979 of the family's 1533-position model. The record is from RNAcentral.